Molecule: long non-coding RNA, 1279 nt
Organism: Pogoniulus pusillus (Red-fronted tinkerbird)
Lineage: Eukaryota; Metazoa; Chordata; Aves; Piciformes; Lybiidae
Exons: 4
Source: RefSeq, a predicted model, not a curated record
GAGGCUUCAGUAACAGCACUCCCUGUGCAAGCCACAAAUGGCAAUCCAAAAGCAGAGGCAAUCAGAUCUUUAGUCAGAGACCAACUCUGCUCAGGCUCCCAGGCUUCCAUAACAGAACCCAAACAGGCUGCUUCAGUGCUUCCACUUAGGUAUUUUGGGUUGCAUGUCAGAAGAAGGUAGAAAGGAGGUAUGAGAGGGCUGAUACAUUUCUUACAGGCAUUCACAGCCAUGUUCUACCAAGAGUCCAUGAGAGAGGGUGAAGAACACCUCAACAGAGAAAGCACCAUUUGAAGGAGCUCCCCUAACGUUGAAAGAAGAGGGUUUGAGCUCUGCUAGACUGUUAGAGGCACCUCCCUUGGCAGCCUGUGCCAGUGCUCUGACACCCUCACAGUGAAAAAAAAUCUUUCUCAGGCUCACAUGGACCCUCCUAUGCAUCAACAAGAUAUUUAAAUCAGAGCUGUUCUUUUCCCUUCCCUCUAACAAACACAAAGACAUAUGUCUGCAUAGGUCACCCUUUCCUCUGGGGAUUUUUAUGCACAUUUAAUUACCUGCAAGUAAAUCAUUUCCUGUGGCUGAGGAGCCAACAAAGCAUACUUCUAAGCUUUCUCCCUUCCAUCAGCAUCUACUUUCAUGAAACAUGUAUGAACUUUAGUGCCUUGGCCACAUCUGCCUCUCCAUCAAACGUGGCUGAAAUCAAUCCCUAGGUUCAAAAGUUACGAGGCAAGGUGUUAGUCUCUCACAUACGCACUCAGAACGAGACUGUAAUCUAAUUUCCUAAAGGAUGCACCAAAGACUGAACCUAAAAUAACAUGGCAUGGGUAAAACCUGUGUACAUCAGCCUCAGGAGACUCUGAGACUUGAUGGAAGCUUCCUGCAGCACUGCUGAAGUGGUUUUUAUUUCCCUCAACGCAGCUGUACCGAGAGCUUUUUCAUUUCUAACCUGGAGCAAUCUGUUGUUAAUACACACUGCUGCGAGCAGGCAGCAUCCUGAGGGAUCGAAGCUGACUGCAAUGCCAACACGCCCAGGAGAGAGCAAGCUGGGCUGUCUCGCAAGCUGCUCCCCUGAAUCACUUCCAGCAUGUUCUUUUAAUCUAGUUUUGGGGUGUUUUCUGAAGAAGAAAGCUCUUCUCAGGAGAAGGAAGAUAAAUGUAACUGCAAGUCUCUGCCUCCCUGGUUCGCCUCGCCAGUAGCAAAGCAGCGCAGGCGGAGCCGUCACUGCCUGGCGCUCGCCCUCCCAGCCCGGCCGGCUGCAGACUGCGGACAGGCAGCACCCACUCCA